RNAcentral lists this ribosomal RNA (947 nucleotides) under Salmonella enterica subsp. enterica. RNAcentral's name for it is "bacterial LSU rRNA". It matches the Rfam family "Bacterial large subunit ribosomal RNA", at positions 1223 to 2152 of the family's 2925-position model. The record is from RNAcentral. Lineage: Bacteria; Pseudomonadati; Pseudomonadota; Gammaproteobacteria; Enterobacterales; Enterobacteriaceae.
GUUGGGUAGGGGAGCGUUCUGUAAGCCUGUGAAGGUGUGUCGUGAGGCAUGCUGGAGGUAUCAGAAGUGCGAAUGCUGACAUAAGUAACGAUAAAGCGGGUGAAAAGCCCGCUCGCCGGAAGACCAAGGGUUCCUGUCCAACGUUAAUCGGGGCAGGGUGAGUCGACCCCUAAGGCGAGGCCGAAAGGCGUAGUCGAUGGGAAACGGGUUAAUAUUCCCGUACUUGGUGUUACUGCGAAGGGGGGACGGAGAAGGCUAUGUUGGCCGGGCGACGGUUGUCCCGGUUUAAGCGUGUAGGUGUGUGUUCCAGGUAAAUCCGGUUCACUUUAACACUGAGGCGUGACGACGAGGCACUACGGUGCUGAAGCAACAAAUGCCCUGCUUCCAGGAAAAGCCUCUAAGCAUCAGGUAACAUCAAAUCGUACCCCAAACCGACACAGGUGGUCAGGUAGAGAAUACCAAGGCGCUUGAGAGAACUCGGGUGAAGGAACUAGGCAAAAUGGUGCCGUAACUUCGGGAGAAGGCACGCUGACACGUAGGUGAAGUGAUUUACUCAUGGAGCUGAAGUCAGUCGAAGAUACCAGCUGGCUGCAACUGUUUAUUAAAAACACAGCACUGUGCAAACACGAAAGUGGACGUAUACGGUGUGACGCCUGCCCGGUGCCGGAAGGUUAAUUGAUGGGGUCAGCGCAAGCGAAGCUCCUGAUCGAAGCCCCGGUAAACGGCGGCCGUAACUAUAACGGUCCUAAGGUAGCGAAAUUCCUUGUCGGGUAAGUUCCGACCUGCACGAAUGGCGUAAUGAUGGCCAGGCUGUCUCCACCCGAGACUCAGUGAAAUUGAACUCGCUGUGAAGAUGCAGUGUACCCGCGGCAAGACGGAAAGACCCCGUGAACCUUUACUAUAGCUUGACACUGAACAUUGAGCCUUGAUGUGUAGGAUAGGUGGGA